GUGAACGCUGGCGGUAGGCCUAACACAUGCACGUCGAACGGCAGCACAGUAAGAGCUUGCUCUUACGGGUGGCGAGUGGCGGACGGGUGAGGAAUACAUCGGAAUCUACUUUUUCGUGGGGGAUAACGUAGGGAAACUUACGCUAAUACCGCAUACGACCUACGGGUGAAAGCAGGGGAUCUUCGGACCUUGCGCGAUUGAAUGAGCCGAUGUCGGAUUAGCUAGUUGGCGGGGUAAAGGCCCACCAAGGCGACGAUCCGUAGCUGGUCUGAGAGGAUGAUCAGCCACACUGGAACUGAGACACGGUCCAGACUCCUACGGGAGGCAGCAGUGGGGAAUAUUGGACAAUGGGCGCAAGCCUGAUCCAGCCAUACCGCGUGGGUAAAGAAGGCCUUCGGGUUGUAAAGCCCUUUUGUUGGGAAAGAAAAGCAGCAGGUUAAUACCCCGCUGUUCUGACGGUACCCAAAGAAUAAGCACCGGCUAACUUCGUG
RNAcentral lists this ribosomal RNA (491 nucleotides) under uncultured bacterium. RNAcentral describes it as "partial 16S ribosomal RNA". It matches the Rfam family "Bacterial small subunit ribosomal RNA", at positions 29 to 507 of the family's 1533-position model. The record is from RNAcentral.